Molecule: ribosomal RNA, 253 nt
Filed under: uncultured bacterium
Lineage: Bacteria
Description: partial 16S ribosomal RNA
Rfam family: Bacterial small subunit ribosomal RNA
Source: RNAcentral
UACGAAGGGGGCUAGCGUUGCUCGGAAUCACUGGGCGUAAAGGGCGCGUAGGCGGCCGAUCAAGUCAGAGGUGAAAGCCCAGGGCUUAACCCUGGAAUUGCCUUUGAUACUGUUCGGCUAGAGACCGGAAGAGGUUAGUGGAACUGCGAGUGUAGAGGUGAAAUUCGUAGAUAUUCGGAAGAACACCAGUGGCGAAGGCGGCUCACUGGUCCGGUACUGACGCUGAGGUGCGAAAGCGUGGGGAGCAAACAGG